UUAAAGUCUAUGAAGAGGAGGAGUAUCAAAAGCCAUCUGUUAUAGCGAGUAGAGGACGGUGGAAGCUCUACACAGACCUUUUGAGAAAAGAGCCUUGGAGACUCUGCCAGAAAGCUUAACGCAAGUAUGGUAAGACCCGUGUGGGUUAUCAAAAUGAGUGGGCAUUUGCCAAUUAGAGUGGUACCGCGGACAACCGCCUCUAUC
This 204-nucleotide non-coding RNA is filed under the name Thermobrachium celere. RNAcentral describes it as "T-box sequence". It matches the Rfam family "T-box leader". From Rfam's summary of the family: Uncharged tRNA acts as the effector for transcription antitermination of genes in the T-box leader family. T-boxes are found upstream of many aminoacyl-tRNA synthetase genes and some amino acid biosynthetic genes usually in Gram-positive bacteria. Lineage: Bacteria; Bacillati; Bacillota; Clostridia; Eubacteriales; Clostridiaceae. The record is from RNAcentral.